AGAAACGCCUACCGCUGCUCGAUGUGCUCCAAGACCUUCAACCUGGCCACCAGCUUCAUGAGGCACCGCAGCAUCCACACCGGGGAGACACCCUACAGCUGCCUCCACUGUGGAAACACUUCCGCCUGCUCACCUUCCUCAAGGCUCAUCUGCAGACCAAAGCCUCACCUGAAGCAGAUUCAGCAGAGGCCGGCGGACAACGCCCACCUCUGACCUGCUAUCAUUUUUUUAUUCAUCUGGACAUCUGGACCAUAAACUACCUGUGAGACAGGUGGACAGUGUUAUAGAAGGUUGUCCUCCAGGAUUUCAUUUACCCUCAACCUUUACCAGCCUUCCAAGCCUGCUGCUGAGGAACACAAUGAUGCUGCCUCCACCAUGCUUCAUAUCAUGAUGCUGCCUCCACCGUGCUUCACAGUGGGGAUGUUGAUCUGAAGCUUCACUGCAGCUUCUUACAGACGACUGAUCGAUUGAUCAGCUUCAUGAAUCCAGAUGUUCUUCUCC
Long non-coding RNA from Acanthochromis polyacanthus (spiny chromis), 501 nucleotides. RefSeq lists it as uncharacterized. The record is from RefSeq and is a predicted model, not a curated record. The transcript is spliced from 3 exons. NCBI's taxonomy places the organism in Eukaryota, Metazoa, Chordata, Actinopteri, Pomacentridae.